ACGUUAUUCGGAAUCACUGGGCUUAAAGCGCGUGUAGGCGGGGCGGCACGUCGGCCGUUGAAAGCCCCCGGCUCAACCGGGGAAUUGGCGCCGAUACGACCGCCCUGGAGGGACGUAGGGGGACCUGGAACUUCCGGUGGAGCGGUGAAAUGCGUUGAGAUCGGAAGGAACACCCGUGGCGAAAGCGAGGUCCUGGACGUCUGCUGACGCUGAGACGCGAAAGCCA
RNAcentral lists this ribosomal RNA (226 nucleotides) under uncultured bacterium. RNAcentral's name for it is "partial 16S ribosomal RNA". It matches the Rfam family "Bacterial small subunit ribosomal RNA", at positions 538 to 762 of the family's 1533-position model. The record is from RNAcentral.